UCUGAAGGGACAGUCACACACCACCCCCUCCCAGCAACGCCCACGCUGCAAUGCCAGGGCUGGGGGGAGGGGGCCAGUGCUAAGGAAGUCCUUCCCCAGGAUGGAGUGCUGCCUAACAAGGGUACCAGCUUGUAGGAGUGGCCAACGCCUUGGGAUACUUGGAUAUGUUAUGCAAAUGAGCAGAUUUGCAUAUCCACAGGCAGGUCAGCUGAAGCAAGGAAGCGUUGUGCAUUUGCAUAUGAUUUGCAUGUCACUGUAAUACCCGGCUUUGUGUGGGUUCAGCACUGGAGAAGCCAACUCUGUCUCUGCUGCCUGAAGCCCUGCACAGCAUGACUGUCCCCCAGCUGGUUGGGCGCUGGGCUUGUGGGGCAGUCUGGGGCCCCCCAGAGAGCCUACCAUGCCAGGCAGAGCUGAGUCCCAGCAGGCCCUAAGGCUAGAGGCCUGCUGCUUUGCUUGGUCUGGCCCUGCCCCAUGGCUGGGCAUGGAAUCCCCUCCCCUUAGGGCUUGGGAAGAGCCGGCUCUCAGGAAAUCAAGGCCUGGCCACAGCUGGCUGGACAUGCUCUGCCAGCGGGUGCCCCCAGGUGCACCUUCAUCACAACAUGUGCAGCCCUGGAAACACAAAGGCAGGAAUUUGGAGUCAGUGCCAGGAUGGUGGGUGUGGGCAGGAGCUUGAUGGUCUCCCACCCAUUCAUUUACAACCUUUCCUGGCCCUGGCCCUGGCCCUGGCCCUUUGUCCUGUACUCCCUUCUUUCCCUCCAUCCUUCCCCAUGGCCCGUCCGCCUGUCCAGCUCCACAUGCGCCUCUCCCCACAGGCUGCUUCCUCCCGCUGCCUUGCAAAAGAAGAGCUGGGAAUGGGGAGAUGGCCAGGGUUGGGGUAACCCUACCCUUCCUUCCAUCUCCAUGUGCAAACGCAAGAUGAUAUGGUCCAGACUGUUGUCUUCCCCCCUCCCAACCCACCGUCUGCUAGCGCCACAGCGUGGCCCUCGCCCAGGUGGCUGAAGGAUUAAUUGGCAGUAGUAGUAGGUUAUUAGCCUCUGUGUGACCAGCUAUGGAGAAGUGGCAGAUGCUUUGCUGGAAGUUUGCACAGACAUUAGCAAAAUAGCAGCAGAAAUCUGGGAGCCAGGACUCUUGGCAUCUCUGCUCAGUGAGGGAGGGAAGUGGUGGCUAGUGGUUACAGCAGAUGACUGGGAGCCAGACUCCUGGGUUCUCUCCCUGGCUCUUGGAGUGGGGUGGGGUCUGGUGGGUUACAGGGAUGUGCGGAGGAGUUAGGACUCCAGCUGUGUGCUGCCCCCCAUCCUAUGUGAUGCUGGCAGGCCUUAGGCUGCAUUCCAUUGGAGAUGGAGGGGAUGCAGAGGGGAAUUCAAUAGCCUGCUAUGUCCAACAAUGACCACUGGGUGGCAGCACUGCGCUACCACAGCCCUUUCUGCUUCUCCCUCUUUUGGGGCCUGGCCACUUCCCAGUGUGAAGGGACCCCCCAGUCCCCCCACAUUGUCUGUGCUGGGAUGGGGGUGGAAGUUGUACUCUGCCUGCAGGGCUGAAUCCCCCUGGGGCUCAGGGUGGCUUGUUCUCCAUGGGACCGGUCCUCUGCUCCCCACUAGUGUGAGGGCCUCCUGCCCUGUACUCUGGGCAUGGGAUCAACGGGGUGCCCUGCCCUUGCAGCCCCCGCCGGGAGCAGCACCAUGUGCGCCCAGUGCCCUGUGGACACACCACCAGACAGCCUGUGGCCUGGCUCUGCAGGGGAGGGGUGUGUGGCUGACCAGAGCCCUGGGGCGGGCUCAGAUGUGUUACAGCAGUGCAGCCCCUGGGAGCAAAGCGGGAAUCGGUCAGACUGGACCCAAGCAAAGACCUGGCAGCUCUGAGCAUUUCUGCCAGCAACGCUGGCGCCCCAGAGCCUGGAGUCACGGAGUGGCUUGUGCUGCUUAGAAAUCAAACCCGUGUCUGGGCGUCGUGGCUGUGUGCUGAACCCCAUGGCCAUGCAGGCCCUAAGCCAACCCCCCAGUGAGUCAAACUAGGCAGAUUUUAACCUCUCCAGGCUUUUUUUCAAGUCAAUGAGGUGCCCUCGCAGGCCCUGGCAUGUGGGGUCACAAUGCGUGGCCGUGGCAAUGUCCCCCACGGGUUCCCAGAUGAGUAGGAAGAUGGCCUUACCCUGUGGCCUGCCCUGAAGAGGAGGUGCCUGUUCUGGUGCCCAUGUGGCUGAAGGGUGAUGGAGGAAUGGGCGAGGCUGAAGCAGCACUCUGCAAGAUGUGCGAGGAGCCCCGCUGCACCGCAUGCCCUAUAUGCACUCUCCCUACGAACGCCCAGCCUGGAAUCCCCGCUUCUGCAUAAUCUCGGGAAACCAGCUGCUUAUGCUAGACGAGGACGAGAUACACCCAUUGCUGAUGAGGGAACGGCGAAGCGAACCCUGCCGGACCAAGCUGCUACGACGCACGGUCAGCGUCCCUGUGGAGGGGCGGCCCCACCCUGAGCACGGUAUGGCAAGGGGCAGAGACUGGAGGCUGGGGGUGCUGCAUUGGGUGGGGCAGGGUUGUUGGGGUCCAGGGUGCAGAUGU
Pelodiscus sinensis (Chinese soft-shelled turtle) is the source of this 2549-nucleotide non-coding RNA. The record is from RefSeq and is a predicted model, not a curated record. Lineage: Eukaryota; Metazoa; Chordata; Testudines; Trionychidae.